This 444-nucleotide ribosomal RNA is filed under the name Bacteroidetes bacterium enrichment culture clone LiUU-12-16. Its description in RNAcentral is "bacterial SSU rRNA". It matches the Rfam family "Bacterial small subunit ribosomal RNA", at positions 358 to 800 of the family's 1533-position model. The record is from RNAcentral. Lineage: Bacteria; Pseudomonadati; Bacteroidota.
GGAAUAUUGGUCAAUGGGCGCAAGCCUGAACCAGCCAUGCCGCGUGCAGGAAGAAUGCCCUAUGGGUUGUAAACUGCUUUUAUUUAGGAAUAAACCUUUCUACGUGUAGAAAGCUGAAGGUACUGAAUGAAUAAGCACCGGCUAACUCCGUGCCAGCAGCCGCGGUAAUACGGAGGGUGCAAGCGUUAUCCGGAAUCAUUGGGUUUAAAGGGUCCGCAGGCGGGCGUAUAAGUCAGUGGUGAAAUCCUGCAGCUUAACUGCAGAACUGCCAUUGAUACUGUACGUCUUGAAUUCGGUCGAAGUGGGCGGAAUGUGUAGUGUAGCGGUGAAAUGCAUAGAUAUUACACAGAACACCGAUAGCGAAGGCUGCUCACUAGGCCUGGAUUGACGCUCAGGGACGAAAGCGUGGGGAUCAAACAGGAUAGAUACCCUGGUAGUCCACGC